Molecule: transfer RNA, 541 nt
Filed under: uncultured cyanobacterium
Lineage: Bacteria; Bacillati; Cyanobacteriota
Description: partial 16S-23S ribosomal RNA intergenic spacer
Rfam family: tRNA (bases 211-283)
Source: RNAcentral
CAGGGAGACAACAAAAUGUUUAAUAUUAUUAUUUUGUCACCUUAGGUCGAUCGGUAUCUCACAUUCUUAAUUUAUUAAGGAUUUCAUUUCCUAAGUUUUUCUAGGUCACACCCAUUUUUUUCCUGGGCCAUUAGCUCAGGUGGUUAGAGCGCACCCCUGAUAAGGGUGAGGUCCCUGGUUCAAGUCCAGGAUGGCCCAUAUCUCUAUGUUGGGGGUAUAGCUCAGUUGGUAGAGCGCCUGCUUUGCAAGCAGGAUGUCAGCGGUUCGAGUCCGCUUACCUCCACUGAUUACCACCUCUUCCAUAAUCCGGUAGAAAGGAAAUGUUUUGAGUUGUGAUCAAAUUCUGAAAGAAUCUAGCUUCCUAAUGAAAUCAUUAAGAUGCUGGACUCAUUGAAUUAAUUUCAUUGUUUUCAGAGAACCUUGACAACUGCAUAGAUUAUUUUUAAAGACAAUAAGCAUCUUUAAUGAUGCAGAUUUAUUAUUUGUGCGAAUGCAUUAAUAACAAUUCUAUUAAGCUGAUGCUUCAAAUUUUGAAGUUAUU